GUCUCUGUCUCUCUUCGUCCAAGGUAUAAUUUGUUUGAAUUUUUUUUUUUUAUGCAUGCUUUAAUAAAUCAAUUGAUUUUAAUUUUGUUUUUUAUUUUUGCAAUUGAUUAUAUUAAUGUAUUUCCUUUUUUAUUAGAAAUUUAACAUGGCUGUUGUUGCUGCUGCUCUAAAGACCAAUCAUGUUGUUAUUAUUCUGUUUCUUAUGAUAUUGGGUGCAAAAGGACUCGUUGUGAUAGAUAAAGCCUUAGACAUCUCACCAUCAUCCAUGCUCACGGGAGAUUGAUAAUCCUGAUACUUUUAUGGAUCCUAUUACGCAACUUAAAUUUGAUCGAUUCUUUCAACAGAAUUGGAGGGGAUCAAGACACAGGCCUAUUGAAAUUGGUGGCAUAAAAUUUACUGUUUUUUCUAAGACUCCGGAUGUACUGGAAUGGAUCGAGACACAAAACUGUAAAAAGAUUACUGCAAGGAUGUUGCAGAGGCAGAAACUGGGGAAAGAAGUGCAUGGUAAUGCAUUGGAAAUAGGAAGGGGUCAAUAUCAACCC
RNAcentral lists this long non-coding RNA (542 nucleotides) under Aquilegia coerulea. RNAcentral describes it as "long non-coding RNA (ACOE_LNC001504)". The record is from RNAcentral. Lineage: Eukaryota; Viridiplantae; Streptophyta; Magnoliopsida; Ranunculales; Ranunculaceae.